GAGACUGCCAGGGAUAACCUGGAGGAAGGUGGGGAUGACGUCAAAUCAUCAUGCCCCUUAUGCUUAGGGCUACACACGUGCUACAAUGGGUAGUACAGAGGGUUGCCAAGCCGUAAGGUGGAGCUAAUCCCUUAAAGCUACUCUCAGUUCGGAUUGUAGGCUGAAACUCGCCUACAUGAAGCUGGAGUUACUAGUAAUCGCAGAUCAGAAUGCUGCGGUGAAUGCGUUCCCGGGUCUUGUACACACCGCCCGUCACACCACGGGAGUUGGAGACGCCCGAAGCCGAUUAUCUAACCUUUUGGAAGAAGUCGUCGAAGGUGGAAUCAAUAACUGGGGUGAAGUCGUAACAAGGUAGCCGUAUCGGAAGGGGCGGCUGGAUCACCUCCUUUCUAAGGAGA
RNAcentral lists this ribosomal RNA (398 nucleotides) under Clostridioides difficile. RNAcentral describes it as "bacterial SSU rRNA". It matches the Rfam family "Bacterial small subunit ribosomal RNA", at positions 1145 to 1533 of the family's 1533-position model. The record is from RNAcentral. Lineage: Bacteria; Bacillati; Bacillota; Clostridia; Peptostreptococcales; Peptostreptococcaceae.